CUUUGAUACAUCUUAGUAUUUCUGGGAUGUAUGGCAAACUUUGAGCUAUGGGCCUCUGUCAUGAUGUCCCUUUUCAACUCGUUAUCACCUAGAACACACACUUUGUCCUGGAAUCUGAGCAACCCAUAGGUAGAGACUCAGAAUUCUAAAUUGACUCCCUGUUCUGCAUCUUUCUUGAGGGCUUCUAGGGUAGAAUUGGCAGACUGAGCUUCCUUUAUUAUAUUGAUUAACU
This 232-nucleotide long non-coding RNA is filed under the name Carica papaya (papaya). RNAcentral's name for it is "long non-coding RNA (CPAP_LNC000889)". The record is from RNAcentral. Lineage: Eukaryota; Viridiplantae; Streptophyta; Magnoliopsida; Brassicales; Caricaceae.